AUGGCCUCAAGCUCCACCGCCGCCGCCGCACCAGCCCUCAUUCCCAUCGCCGAUCGCCUCCAUCGCUCCAACUUCCUGGUGUGGCGUGCCCAAGCGGUUGCUGCCAUCCGCGGCGCCCAGCUCGUCUCCUACAUCAACCCAGACAGAGAAGAACCGGCGCCCAAGCUCACGGACAAGGAUGGCAAGCCAACAGAUGUGCCCAAUCCGGCGUAUGAGAUCGCCAAGGCGCAGGAUUUCCAGGUUCUGAGUUUUCUGUUCAAUUCAGUCUCACCUCCUGUGAUGAUCCAGAUUGCUCACUGCACCACGGCCUCGGCAGCAUGGACUGCCAUCACGGAGAUGUUCAUCUCCCAAACCCAGGCGCACGUGGUGAACACGAGGAUCGCCCUGUCAAACACCAAGAAGGGCACCUCGACUGUUGCCGAGUACAUCGGCCGCAUGAAGGCGCUCGGAGACGAGCUGGCUUCUGUUGGGAAGCCCCUCACCGACGAUGACAUUGUGUCAUACAUCCUCGCCGGCCUCGACUUCGACUACAUGGGCUUCGUCUCCUCCCUGUGUGCCAGGGCUCAGCCGAUUAAGGUGAACGACCUCUACUCCCUCCUCGUCGGCUUCGAGAACAGGCUCGCCAUGUUCGACGGCGGGCAUCAAUCCUCUGACUCCUCUGCCAACGCUGUCUCU
This 675-nucleotide ribosomal RNA is filed under the name Triticum aestivum (bread wheat). RNAcentral describes it as "partial small subunit ribosomal RNA". The record is from RNAcentral. Lineage: Eukaryota; Viridiplantae; Streptophyta; Magnoliopsida; Poales; Poaceae.